Molecule: ribosomal RNA, 253 nt
Filed under: uncultured bacterium
Lineage: Bacteria
Description: partial 16S ribosomal RNA
Rfam family: Bacterial small subunit ribosomal RNA
Source: RNAcentral
UACGGAGGGUGCUAGCGUUGUUCGGAAUUACUGGGCGUAAAGCGUGCGCAGGCGGUUCGUUAAGUUCGUCGUGAAAGCCCCGGGCUCAACCUGGGAACUGCGAUGGAAACUGGCGGGCUUGAGUGUGGCAGAGGGGGGUGGAAUUCCGCGUGUAGCAGUGAAAUGCGUAGAGAUGCGGAGGAACACCGAUGGCGAAGGCAGCCCCCUGGGCCAACACUGACGCUCAGGCACGAAAGCGUGGGGAGCAAACAGG